This 1378-nucleotide ribosomal RNA is filed under the name Conyzicola sp. RNAcentral describes it as "bacterial SSU rRNA". It matches the Rfam family "Bacterial small subunit ribosomal RNA". Lineage: Bacteria; Bacillati; Actinomycetota; Actinomycetes; Micrococcales; Microbacteriaceae. The record is from RNAcentral.
AAGUCGAACGAUGAAGAGAGCUUGCUCUUGGAUUAGUGGCGAACGGGUGAGUAACACGUGAGUAACCUGCCCUUGACUCUGGGAUAAGCACUGGAAACGGUGUCUAAUACCGGAUACGAGCUUCAGCCGCAUGGCUAGGAGCUGGAAAGAAUUUUGGUCAAGGAUGGACUCGCGGCCUAUCAGCUAGUUGGUGAGGUAAUGGCCCACCAAGGCGACGACGGGUAGCCGGCCUGAGAGGGUGACCGGCCACACUGGGACUGAGACACGGCCCAGACUCCUACGGGAGGCAGCAGUGGGGAAUAUUGCACAAUGGGCGAAAGCCUGAUGCAGCAACGCCGCGUGAGGGACGACGGCCUUCGGGUUGUAAACCUCUUUUAGUAGGGAAGAAGCGAAAGUGACGGUACCUGCAGAAAAAGCACCGGCUAACUACGUGCCAGCAGCCGCGGUAAUACGUAGGGUGCAAGCGUUGUCCGGAAUUAUUGGGCGUAAAGAGCUCGUAGGCGGUUUGUCGCGUCUGCUGUGAAAACCCGAGGCUCAACCUCGGGCCUGCAGUGGGUACGGGCAGACUAGAGUGCGGUAGGGGAGAUUGGAAUUCCUGGUGUAGCGGUGGAAUGCGCAGAUAUCAGGAGGAACACCGAUGGCGAAGGCAGAUCUCUGGGCCGUUACUGACGCUGAGGAGCGAAAGCAUGGGGAGCGAACAGGAUUAGAUACCCUGGUAGUCCAUGCCGUAAACGUUGGGAACUAGAUGUAGGGGCCAUUCCACGGUUUCUGUGUCGCAGCUAACGCAUUAAGUUCCCCGCCUGGGGAGUACGGCCGCAAGGCUAAAACUCAAAGGAAUUGACGGGGGCCCGCACAAGCGGCGGAGCAUGCGGAUUAAUUCGAUGCAACGCGAAGAACCUUACCAAGACUUGACAUAUACGAGAACGGGCCAGAAAUGGUCAACUCUUUGGACACUCGUAAACAGGUGGUGCAUGGUUGUCGUCAGCUCGUGUCGUGAGAUGUUGGGUUAAGUCCCGCAACGAGCGCAACCCUCGUUCUAUGUUGCCAGCACGUUAUGGUGGGAACUCAUAGGAGACUGCCGGGGUCAACUCGGAGGAAGGUGGGGAUGACGUCAAAUCAUCAUGCCCCUUAUGUCUUGGGCUUCACGCAUGCUACAAUGGCCGAUACAAAGGGCUGCAAUACCGUAAGGUGGAGCGAAUCCCAAAAAGUCGGUCUCAGUUCGGAUUGAGGUCUGCAACUCGACCUCAUGAAGUCGGAGUCGCUAGUAAUCGCAGAUCAGCAACGCUGCGGUGAAUACGUUCCCGGGCCUUGUACACACCGCCCGUCAAGUCAUGAAAGUCGGUAACACCCGAAGCCAGUGGCCUAACCGCAAGGAAGG